Molecule: long non-coding RNA, 1049 nt
Filed under: Equus caballus (horse)
Lineage: Eukaryota; Metazoa; Chordata; Mammalia; Perissodactyla; Equidae
Description: lncRNA (ENSECAG00000053388.1)
Source: RNAcentral
GAGAGGAGCCAGAUGCCAAAUAAUAGUAGCUUUUACAGAAUGCUUUAUUAUUUUCUCAAUUCAUUUUCUACUCUUUCAUCCUAUCCCUUAACACUUCCCGAGAUAGGAAGAACAGGUAACAGCAGCUCAGUAUUACACACGGAGUAAGUGAGAAGACGCGGCCCCCUGCGGCACGCACCUUCUAAGUGAUGGAGUCCAGGUGGGGAGAGGUGGGCUUGGUUUCAGAGGAGAAAAUAUAAACCUGUGUCAAAAGUGAAAUUGGAUCCUAGAAGUAACUGUUAGGGGACUUGUCUUCUCGCCAUACACAACUAGAAAACUGCAUAAAAAUACAUGAAACAAAGCUUUUUGAGACAUUGGACAAGAGGCAACCCAAGACUGUGAUAUUGAAAGAAAGAAACAAAUGAAAUGAGCCAUGAGUGUUGCAACUUUCUACCUAGAAGUAAUUUCCAGCCACAGCGCAGGGAGAAGAAACAUAAAGAGUCUGGAGAUCUUGCGAGUUGAGGAGACAAAAAUUGAAGUUUGUGGAGAGUGAGGCAGCUGAAAAUUGCAGGAUGGGGUCCCCAAGAGGAGUCAUGAAGACAGAGAGGUUUAGAAAUCUGCAGGAAGGGUCCCUUGAGAAUCCAGCUGAGUAGCAUGAAACUCCUGCAGACCAGGUGAAGAAUGGCCACAGAGCUGCGAGCAGAACACUCCCCAGGACUUCACACACGCCAUGAAGCAUUUAAGUUCCCAUCAGCCGGAGUGGGGAGAUCUCACUGGAGAAAUAAGGUGUUCAAUAGAGAUGGAGAAAAACCGAGAAGGUAUCAGCUACAGUCCAAUCAGGAGACACAAACCACCCAGUAAUUUGAACAGCAAAGUUUAAUAUAAAGAAUUAUUAACUAUAGCAGGCACUCUGAGAUCUACGGUGAAGAAAUUGCAUUACCUGCAGAGAUCACGAAGCUAGCUGGCUGUGAAGCUGCUGCCUGAAUCCUGGCGCCUGGUCGAGUCAGCUCGUGGGUCCUCACCACCGCGCCUCUGAGUCAUGUUAUGCGUUCUCAGCCAGUGGUUCUCAG